This is a long non-coding RNA of Myotis brandtii (Brandt's bat), 1700 nucleotides long. RefSeq lists it as uncharacterized. The record is from RefSeq and is a predicted model, not a curated record. The transcript is spliced from 3 exons. Lineage: Eukaryota; Metazoa; Chordata; Mammalia; Chiroptera; Vespertilionidae.
CCCAACCUGGAGUCCCGAGUGGCAGGGGCGCAGGAUGCUGGGGGGCGCGCAGGCGGCCCCCGCCACCGGCCUUCCAGACCCAGCGCAGAGCAAGACCUUGCUGUGCUGGAAGGAGGUGGAAGAGGCACUGUACUCGGUCGCUGGGGCCGCUGCCUAAAUCAACAUGCCUGAACCAAAGCUGCCCCAGCUCAGGGAGGUGGCCUGGCCUUGGCACAGCAAAUAAUGGAAAGACACGUACCCUGACCAGUAGACAGAGUUCCUGAGGAACUUGCCCCAACUUCCUUGCAAAGAAAGCCAGGCUGCAUGGGAAAGCACAUGGCUACUGUGAUGAGCUUACAAUGGAACAAUAGUCACUCGGGGGGAAAACCUAUGUUCCAGCUUCAGGGGGAGCAGAGCUGGCCAGAAAGGCAGCAGCCCCGGCAGGAGCAGUAGGAGCCCCCAGCAGAGCAGCCGCCAUGCGGCAGCCAGCGAGGCAGGGGGUUGGCCACCGCUUCCCGAGCCACCGCUAAAGACAAGGAGUCACAUGAGACCUCCAGAAUUCGAGGGGAUGAUGCUGAGGGACAUCAAAGGCUGUGUGUCCCAAGAUGACCUGGAGGCUGAGUGACCACCUGCCCAUGAGCCAGAAUCACGCUGCAGGAUGGGUGGAGAAGCGACAAGAAUCAGCCUCCACCGGUGGGCAGACUGCUCCCUCCCAGAAGACAGAAGUUCACGUGCAUGGAUGACCCUUGGCCUUAAAGCCUGGAAAACCAAGCUGCCAGGACCACCGGAGAGCGGGGUGGCUCCAAGGAGAAGAGCCCGGGCCACUGCCUCACCCUCAGCCUGGUCCUCACCCUCACCAGGGCCACUCUGAUCACGGGUGUCCACUGGGCCAGCACUGAAGUACACUGUCCCUUGGUGAGAGGAAAAGCCACAGGACCCAGCUUUCCUCCCCCCUUCCUCCUCUCCCCGCUCCACCGUGGUUACUGGCAACACCCUGCCUUCCCCACUCCUGGGACUGGGGCAGCCCUUUCCUCUUCCACCCACCUUCCUCCCCACUCCUACCCCCAUCCACUACACACUUCUCCCUGGUACCAUGUCACCUGACAACUCAGUAUGACCUCGGGUCUACUCAAGUCGCACAGCCUCCUGCACACACUCCCUACGCUGAGGCGAGCGUGACAUGUGAGCGCGUGUGUCCCUCCGAGCCCCAGGCUCCACACCACCUACAGACACCCAGGAGUCGGGAGACUCCCGGAGGCCCCAAGCAGCGAAUGGGUUGGGGACUCCAAGCAGGUGACCCUGGCCCCUCUGCCCAGCCUCUGCUUCUUUCACAGAACCCUCCACAUCCUUGGGGGGUCUGCUGGGGUGUAGGGUCCUCCGACCUCUGGGGACAGACACCAUGGUGCUAAGGAGUUAGGGGAGGCCCCCCAGCCUCCACUACCACCUCAAAAGGAUGCCACUCUCCUCCCUUCCCCGAUGCUUGUCACUUAAAGGGACACGUGGAUGAGACAGGGAAAGACUGAUGUGGAGUGUGGUAACGAGGUGACUUGGUUUUUUCAUCUGUCAAGCCAAGGGCUGUUCUCUCGCUAGGCUCCUCUUUGUAGCUGUCAAAGGCUGCCACUCUGGGGGGUUGCUUCUGCAGGAGCGACCAGCAGCUGUGUCCCCAAUAGGAAGAGGCAGGUGUGCCAGCACCCCUGUGCCUCUCUGCCCUCCUCCCAGGA